Molecule: ribosomal RNA, 791 nt
Filed under: uncultured bacterium
Lineage: Bacteria
Description: bacterial SSU rRNA
Rfam family: Bacterial small subunit ribosomal RNA
Source: RNAcentral
GCGCGCCUAACACAUGCAGUCGAACGAGCGGAUUCCCUUCGGGGAAGAAGCUAGUGGCGGACGGGUGAGUAACACGUGAGGAACCUGCCUUACAGAGAGGGAUACCGUUUGGAAACGAACGUUAAUACCGCAUAACGUAUUGAAAUCGCAUGGUUUUGAUACCAAAGAUUUAUUGCUGUAAGAUGGCCUCGCGUCUGAUUAGAUAGUUGGUGAGGUAACGGCCCACCAAGUCGACGAUCAGUAGCCGGACUGAGAGGUUGAUCGGCCACAUUGGGACUGAGACACGGCCCAGACUCCUACGGGAGGCAGCAGUGGGGGAUAUUGCACAAUGGGCGAAAGCCUGAUGCAGCGACGCCGCGUGAGGGAAGACGGUUUUCGGAUUGUAAACCUCUGUCUUCGGGGACGAAAUGACGGUACCCGAGGAGGAAGCCACGGCUAACUACGUGCCAGCAGCCGCGGUAAUACGUAGGUGGCAAGCGUUGUCCGGAAUUACUGGGUGUAAAGGGAGAGUAGGCGGGAUUGCAAGUCCGUUGUUAAAUCUAUCGGCUUAACCGGUAGCUGCGGCGGAAACUGUAGUUCUUGAGUGAAGUAGAGGCAAGCGGAAUUCCGAGUGUAGCGGUGAAAUGCGUAGAUAUUCGGAGGAACACCAGUGGCGAAGGCGGCUUGCUGGGCUUUAACUGACGCUGAGGCUCGAAAGUGUGGGGAGCAAACAGGAUUAGAUACCCUGGUAGUCCACACUGUAAACGAUGAUAGCUAGGUGUGGGGGGUCUGACCCCUUCCGUGCCGGAGUU